RNAcentral lists this ribosomal RNA (498 nucleotides) under uncultured Glomeromycotina. Its description in RNAcentral is "partial small subunit ribosomal RNA". It matches the Rfam family "Eukaryotic small subunit ribosomal RNA", at positions 591 to 1092 of the family's 1831-position model. The record is from RNAcentral. Lineage: Eukaryota; Fungi; Glomeromycota.
CCAAUAGCGUAUAUUAAAGUUGCUGCAGUUAAAAAGCUCGUAGUUGAAUUUCGGGACUAAUAUGUCGGUCGUGCCUCGGUACGUACUGGCUUAUUGGUUUCUCCUUUCUGAAGAACCAUGAUGUCAUUUAUUUGGUGUCGUGGGGAAUCAGGACUGUUACUUUGAAAAAAUUAGAGUGUUUAAAGCAGGCUUACGCUUGAAUACAUUAGCAUGGAAUAAUGAAAUAGGACGUUUGAUUCUAUUUUGUUGGUUUCUAGGAUCGACGUAAUGAUUAAUAGGGAUAGUUGGGGGCAUUAGUAUUCAAUUGUCAGAGGUGAAAUUCUUGGAUUUAUUGAAGACUAACUACUGCGAAAGCAUUUGCCAAGGAUGUUUUCAUUAAUCAAGAACGAAAGUUAGGGGAUCGAAGACGAUCAGAUACCGUCGUAGUCUUAACCAUAAACUAUGCCGACUAGGGAUCGGAUGAUGUUAAUUUUUUAAUGACUCAUUCGGCGCCUUACG